Molecule: long non-coding RNA, 593 nt
Organism: Chinchilla lanigera (long-tailed chinchilla)
Lineage: Eukaryota; Metazoa; Chordata; Mammalia; Rodentia; Chinchillidae
Exons: 3
Source: RefSeq, a predicted model, not a curated record
GCAACUCUGUGGAGAUGACAGUCUGGCCAGGAAGAGAAGGUAGAGAGUGCCCCGAGGCCCUUCAGUCUUGCUGGACCAGCUGAUGGGAAAGAAGUAAAGAGAUGACAGACAGCUACUCAAACCAAGCAGAGAAAAUGUGAAAGCGAAUUGCUCCUGCGCUCUGACCACCAUAGGUUUCUUCUGCCUAUGUGAGCUCCUGGGAUCCAUUUGGCUCCCAGGCUUGUCUUUGGCUUUAACCUUGGAUUUCUUUGGCCAUGUGACUUUUUCUUGUCCUUUGGUGCUGGGGUGUUCUCUUCCAUCCUCUUGAAAGUUCACCUAAAGCCUCAACAUCCUUUAGGAAAUAUUUCCUAACUUAAUCCAUCUGAUUUGAAUUAAGCAGUUAAUUCUUACCAAGCUUGUGUAAUAAAGACCUGCUCAUUCAGCCUUCUGAAGAGAAAAGCUGCAUUAACCAGCAUGUCUAUUUACUUACAGUUCAUUACUAAUUGAUUUUCACAAUGAUGACCUCAGUAGGUUGCAAGAUUCUGAAGUACUAAAGACUGAAUAAAGUUUGCUUAAUGUAGUUGGAUUAGUUUUCUGUGCUGUAACUGUGGGAG